GUAUGAUCACAAACUCCUGGUGCUGUAUCGCUGCUCCUCUGGACCGCUGGUCAUUCUCAGGUCCUCCUGACUCAGGGGCUUCCUCCAGUGGCCGUAAAAGGUAUUGCACCUGGCUACGUGACUCUGGCCCCGCUCCGUUUCUAUCUCGACCUCGCAGUACAUCUUGUCGAAGCUGGGUGGGUUGUCUUCGGGGGUCUCCACCUCCACUUUGGACAGGAGCUCCUUCAGAGCGGGCCGGUUCAUCUGAGCUCUGCUGAAGGAGGACACCGUCACCUCGUUGUCCAGCAGGGCAGAGGAGCCGUUGAACUGGAAUGAGUGCCUGGCUUGGUGCUCUGUGGUGGGAAAGGGGCAGUCGACGUACUUGGAUGGAGGCACUCUGAGGGUGACCUGCCUGAUCUGGCUGAGGUCAAAGUUCCCGGCCGUGUUUUCAAGCUUGGCGCGUGCUUCCAGAGCCGCAUCCACCACCCAGUGCAUCCCCAGGUGAGCGGGGAUGCGCUUGAAGGCCACGUCCUGGUCUUCCAGGAUCCAUUUAAAGUCAGCGGAGGCAGACACCGCCAUCGCCGACGGACUGUAGUCCUUGUAGUAAACCCCGAACCCGCAGUUAUUAUCCAGGAUGGCCGGGUUCCCCUCCAGUCCCAGCCAGGCCAGCUGGGCGGCCUCCAGGCCUUUCCGAGCAGCGUUUCCGAUGUGCAGAGGUUUGGUUUGCGUGGCGGCGUUAGCCAGGGGAGCCCCGGCAGAGGAGGCUGCGAUGGCCAGGGCGUGAGCGCACUGAGCCGGGGACAGACCCAGCAGCUUGGCCGAGGCUGCAGCGCUACCCAUCACCCCAACGACGCUGGGGGGGUGGAAUCUGGCGGAGGACCCAAACAUUAGGCUCUAUUUGACUUCAACACAGCAUUCUUCAAGAUUAAUGAAUAGUUAAUUAAUGAAAAGUAAAUGUUUCAAGCACAAAUACCACACCUUUACUGGUUAUGUGAUAAUUAAUUGAAUAUCAUUGAGAUUUAGACUGUUGGUCCGACAAAACAAGCAAGGUUUAAGACAAACGAUCACUUGAUUAAUCAAAAGAAUAUUCAACAGAUUAUAGUGAACAUAUAUUAGUUAUAAUAUAUACUGCUUGAAAACAACUUUUUCUCCCCUUUUUUUUCUUAUUUUUUCUUUUGGCACGUCAACUCAGAGUCUGAUGUUUGGUAUUGAACAGCUCACCUCUCAGGGAUGUUGUAGGCCUCCGACGAGAACCUCAUGAGCCUGCCCUGCACCUCGAUACCGACAUUGAAGGCCAGCAGCAGGUCCAGACCAGAGGGCCGUCUGGGCAGAGUCUCUGCCAGGGCCAGCAGGGCGGGCAGCACAGCCCCCGAGGGAUGGGUCGCGGGGUGCCAGGUGUCGUCGAAGUCCAUGGAGUGAACCUAUUCCCGGACAGUGAGACGGAGGUCAGACACAAAAUCAUUGUGUCACGCUUCUGUUUUAUGUCCAUCAGGGUGCAUUCACGUGAGCGGCCUUACCGCGACGCCAUUGACGAAUGCAGCGUAGUAAGGAGGAAGCGUUAGCUCCGAUUUACCCCAAACGCUGCUCCUCUCAUCGGACCGGAACAUCUGCAAUCAGACAGCGACAUGAGGACAAGCGUGCGGUCAUAUGGAAGAGGCGUUCCGACCCAUGUCCAACACAUACACUCAUGACUACAUAAAUAAACCUAAAAGGGAUCAAAUCAAUUUAUUGAAUUCUCAUAGAACAGAAAGGGAAACAGUAGUUUAACUAUUUGUCUCAGCUGUAAAAGAUAUUUGACAUUCAGUAGCUUUCUACUUUAGUUUCUGAUCAACACAGACGACUUGUGAUAGGCCCAAAAGAUAUGAAGAUGAUCACAGGUUGACAGAUAUUCCUAAAACUGUUUUCAACCCUACUUUACUGAAGAUCAAAUCUCUCAUUAAAUAUGUUCUUCUUUUAUAUAUGAUGCGGUCGUGAGCCAUAUUUCAGUGGGUGCAGUUGAUCAGUGAGGCACCUUUCCGUACCUGGCUAUAUGCGAGAGCCUUGUUGAAGACAGCCGUCCUGGUUCCCAUCAGCCCGACGCCCAGGGCGUCCAGCAUCAUCCUUUUGCUCCUGUUAAUCACACCAUCUGUCAGCUGGGGGGGGGAGAGGCCAUGGAUAGCAGCUCCAAAGCUCGCUGUAAUACCCUGCAGAGGUGAAACAAAGGCCAGUCAGAGGCAAACCUCCACAGAGACGGUGCAGUUGUGAAAGGUCAAACCAGGUGAAGAAGUUCAAAUGUGCUGCAUCUAGUGAUUCUUUAACACCCCCCCCCCCCC
This is a long non-coding RNA of Cyclopterus lumpus (lumpfish), 2291 nucleotides long. RefSeq lists it as uncharacterized. The transcript has 2 exons. The record is from RefSeq and is a predicted model, not a curated record. NCBI's taxonomy places the organism in Eukaryota, Metazoa, Chordata, Actinopteri, Perciformes, Cyclopteridae.